CUCAGUUGUAAUGCGGCGCAGAGGCCUGACCCACCACCUUCUCAGUUCCCCUCUUCUCAGUUCUUCUCAUCAACGACGCCGACGCCAAGAGCUUUACCUCCUCAGGACGUCACGUACCCUCUGCUCUCCUGCCCGACCGACGCAACAUCUCCUCGUCUGCUGUACUCCUGCUGUAAUUUAAUUAAGAAUUGCUUGAGCAUUAAGGUGUGAGCUGAAACUGAAUUGGGGUGCUUGAUCUGUUGUGACUUGCCUUGUGAUUAUUUGGGUGCUUAUCUGUUGUGAGAAUUUUGCUUGAUUUGUUGUGUUGGGAUUUUCCUUUUAGUUCUUAUGGCUUUGCUUUCUGUUGAGAUUAGCUUGAUUAUUGACUUUCUGGGUGUUUUUAGAGCAUUAAACUAUUAAAGUUUCAUUUUUCAUCCGAAAGUUAGUUGCCUUUGCCGGGUGUUUUAAUAUUUAUUAUCACUGGACUCAAACAUGAAUUUUUUUGAUUUCCAUGUCAAUUUCUGAUCUUUGUUAGACUGAAUUUAACUUUGAAGUUGUCUAGAUUAUUUUCUGUUCUUAUUUAAUUAAUUUGUUGGCUAUCUUGCUGAGCUGUGAAGAGUUAUCAGCAUAUCGUGAAAGCUUUAUUCUGACCCAUUUUUAUUGAUUUGCUAUUUUAAGUACUUUUGUUCUUCAUAUUAUGUUACAUGAAGUAAAGGAAUUUAAACUAUGAACUAUGAAGUAUGAACUACAAGGAGUCUUUUGUGUUGUGUCUUGGGCAUUUCUGGUGUAAAUAGCUGGACCUUCUUCAACACUACUUAUGUAGCAGCAUGUAUAUCUGAAGGGAAAAAGUAAAUUGGGAUUUUUUAGUAUUUUCUAUUCUUUUCACGUUCAUUGUGGUAAGUUAACAUUUUCAAUUACCAACUACAUUUCUUCUUUCGAGCCUCCUUUAUAUAUCCUUGUUAAGAGAAUUUGGUUAGUUAUAUCAUUUUUUUCCUGGGAUCUUUGCUGCAAUAUAUUUUGAAGGCCCAAAUAAAACUGAUUCAAACAUUCCUAAAACCAAACUGAAAUUUGUUGGUUUGGUUCAGUUGCCUAAUAACUAUGGUUCGGACUUCGGAGUGGUGUAGGGAAAAAGUCUGAUUUUCUUCUUCGGUUUUGUGGGUUUGGUUCAGUGUACUUGUUUUUGGUUGUAACUGAAAUACUAAUCAUGAGAGAUUUUUGUUUCUGGGGAUUAUUUUCAACUGUUCCUAUUUCUAUUAGUAUGAUUUAUUAUUUGGAUGGGUAGUCCUUUGAAUGAUCUCUUUGUUUCUUGUAACCUCUUUUGAUAUACUCUUGUUGAUAAGUUUUUUAGAAUGUAAAUUAUUUUGAGCUCUGUAAUUUCGAUAUUUUCUCUACAUGGCGUGUGCACCAACACCCGCCACUUCCUCUACAAUUUGUUUACUUUGGAUCACAUGUGCAAGAAAAAAGAGAGAAAAAAAAAAUCCAAAUUUGCUUUUGAUUCUCCAUAUAGUUUGGUUCUUUCUUUUCUUUGUAGCCAAAACCUUCCUUCCUUAUUUAGUUUUUGCAAGAUUUACAUUUUUUUAAUAUUAAUGUGGAAUUGGUUGAGCUCAAUGCAAAAGAGGAUUCAUACAGCUGAACCCAAUUAGUUUGGAAUUAAGCCUAGCUGUUGCUGUUCUUCAUUUUGCCCCAUUUCAUAUGUUUCCGUGCUUAUCAUAGAUAUAUCAUCUUUUAAUGAAACAUUUUACAUUUUCAUCCUACCAUGUUUAGUUUUAGCUCAUUAUCUUUGAAUUUUAGAUGGCUUUGAGAGGUGUGUGGCAACUUCAAAAGCUGAUUGUGAGCUAUUGUGACUGGGGAGGAAGUAGUAGGGGCAUCAGGGCAUUUAUGGAGUCACAACUGCCAGCAUUUAAAGAAGGAAAUCCUCAGUUAGAGUUGAUUACUGAACUCAAUCGUGGGCAACAUCCAUAUUUGAAGGCUUUUUAUGAGAACAAAAAUGAGCGGGUGGUUUGUGUGAAGAAUUUGACUCCAGAUGAAGUACUUCUGCAAGCGACCAGGCUAAGGAAUUCAUUGGGAAGAAAGGUGGUAAAACUAAAGACAAGGCAUGUUACCCAGCACCCAAGCGUGCAAGGUACAUGGACAACAGCAGUUAGAUUUUGAGGCAUGAAAACCGCUUAAUGAAUAGCUGUUGUUGCCAUGCUUUUAGUGUCAUAAAGCUAUAACAAUGACUUAGUACUAGUUACAGAAUCAGAUGAAAAUGCUUUAUAUGAUGCUUUGGAUUGUAGUAUUGAACUCGGUUAUAUUGUCUUUUCGACAUGUUUCAAUUCUCAUUUGGUUUUGCUCUAAAAAUAGGCAAAACAUUUUUAAGAUUUUUCAUAGUGUAAAAUUUAGCCAUCUAAUGCAUGUGCAUAUAUAUUGAC
RNAcentral lists this unclassified non-coding RNA (2390 nucleotides) under Hevea brasiliensis (rubber tree). Lineage: Eukaryota; Viridiplantae; Streptophyta; Magnoliopsida; Malpighiales; Euphorbiaceae. The record is from RNAcentral.